UACGACUACAUAUCAGGCAUAUCAAUAAGCGGAGGAAAAGAAACUAACUAGGAUUCCCUUAGUAACGGCGAGUGAAGCGGGAAGAGCUCAAAUUUGAAAUCUUCAAGGUUCUACCUUGACGAAUUGUAGUUUAAAGAAGUGUUUUCUGUUGAAGUUUUGGUAAAAGUUCUUUGGAAUAGGACAUCAUAGAGGGUGAGAAUCCCGUAUUUGACCAGUUAUUUUCCAGCUGUGUGAUACACUUUCAAAGAGUCGGAUUGUUUGGGAAUGCAGUCCAAAAUGGGUGGUAAAUUUCAUCUAAAGCUAAAUAUUGGCGAGAGACCGAUAGCGAACAAGUACCGUGAGGGAAAGAUGAAAAGAACUUUGAAAAGAGAGUUAAACAGUACGUGAAAUUGUCAAAAGGGAAGCGUUUGACACCAGUGUUGUUUUCUCGAAAAUCAAUUAAAAAAUGCUUGAUUUUGUGUUGUAUUGACCUUAAAAGCUUUCUUCACUUUUUUCAUGUCAUUUUUAAUGCACUUUUCGUUUAACAAGUCAACAUCAGUUUCUUUUGUUGUAAAAAGGUCAUUGGAAGGUGGCUUUCUUUUCGGAGAAAGUGUUUAUAGCCUUUGACUCCUGCAAUCGGAGAGACUGAGGUCUGCAGCGUAGAUCCUUCUGGAUUAGAUCCACUUGUGCUAAGUUAUAGCUUUUCAUAGACAACUUGUUGACUAUGUUUAGUCUUGUAGCUUACUCGCUUGUGUAAUUUUACCUACGCUUAGGAUGUUGAACGCGCACAGAGUCUC
Molecule: ribosomal RNA, 776 nt
Filed under: uncultured Neocallimastigales
Lineage: Eukaryota; Fungi; Neocallimastigomycota; Neocallimastigomycetes; Neocallimastigales
Description: partial large subunit ribosomal RNA
Rfam family: Eukaryotic large subunit ribosomal RNA
Source: RNAcentral